AGCGAACGCUGGCGGCAGGCCUAAUACAUGCAAGUCGAACGGCCCUUCGGGGCAGUGGCGGACGGGUGAGUAACACGUGGGAACGUGCCCUUUGGUACGGAACAACUGAGGGAAACUUCAGCUAAUACCGUAUGUGCCCUUCGGGGGAAAGAUUUAUCGCCAUUGGAGCGGCCCGCGUUGGAUUAGCUAGUUGGUGGGGUAAAGGCCCACCAAGGCUACGAUCCAUAGCUGGUCUGAGAGGAUGAUCAGCCACACUGGGACUGAGACACGGCCCAGACUCCUACGGGAGGCAGCAGUAGGGAAUCUUGCGCAAUGGGCGAAAGCCUGACGCAGCCGUGCCGCGUGAAUGAUGAAGGUUUUAGGAUUGUAAAAUUCUUUCACCGGGGAAGAUAAUGACGGUACCCGGAGAAGAAGCCCCGGCUAACUUCGUGCCAGCAGCCGCCGUAA
Molecule: ribosomal RNA, 447 nt
Filed under: uncultured bacterium
Lineage: Bacteria
Description: partial 16S ribosomal RNA
Rfam family: Bacterial small subunit ribosomal RNA
Source: RNAcentral